AACGAACGCUGGCGGCAUGCCUAACACAUGCAAGUCGAACGAGACCUUCGGGUCUAGUGGCGCACGGGUGCGUAACGCGUGGGAACCUGCCCUUAGGUUCGGAAUAACUCCCCGAAAGGGGUGCUAAUACCGGAUAAUGUCUUCGGACCAAAGAUUUAUCGCCUUUGGAUGGGCCCGCGUUGGAUUAGCUAGUUGGUAGGGUAAAAGCCUACCAAGGCGACGAUCCAUAGCUGGUCUGAGAGGAUGAUCAGCCACACUGGGACUGAGACACGGCCCAGACUCCUACGGGAGGCAGCAGUGGGGAAUCUUGGACAAUGGGCGGAAGCCUGAUCCAGCAAUGCCGCGUGAGUGAUGAAGGCCUUAGGGUUGUAAAGCUCUUUUACCCGGGAUGAUAAUGACAGUACCGGGAGAAUAAGCUCCGGCUAACUCCGUG
This 433-nucleotide ribosomal RNA is filed under the name uncultured bacterium. RNAcentral describes it as "partial 16S ribosomal RNA". It matches the Rfam family "Bacterial small subunit ribosomal RNA", at positions 29 to 507 of the family's 1533-position model. The record is from RNAcentral.